This 72-nucleotide transfer RNA is filed under the name human gut metagenome. It matches the Rfam family "tRNA". Rfam says of the family: Transfer RNA (tRNA) molecules are approximately 80 nucleotides in length. The record is from RNAcentral. RNAcentral also lists the same sequence under 1 other name.
GGAGUUUAGCUCAGUUGGUUAGAGCAUCUGCCUUACAAGCAGAGGGUCAUAGGUUCGAGUCCUUUAACUCCC